Molecule: ribosomal RNA, 253 nt
Filed under: uncultured bacterium
Lineage: Bacteria
Description: partial 16S ribosomal RNA
Rfam family: Bacterial small subunit ribosomal RNA
Source: RNAcentral
UACGUAGGGGGCAAGCGUUAUCCGGAUUUACUGGGUGUAAAGGGAGCGUAGGCGGCGAUGCAAGUCAGAAGUGAAAGCCCGGGGCUCAACUCCGGGACUGCUUUUGAAACUGUGUUGCUAGAUUGCAGGAGAGGUAAGUGGAAUUCCUAGUGUAGCGGUGAAAUGCGUAGAUAUUAGGAGGAACACCAGUGGCGAAGGCGGCUUACUGGACUGUAAAUGACGCUGAGGCUCGAAAGUGUGGGGAGCAAACAGG